Molecule: long non-coding RNA, 5914 nt
Filed under: Brassica rapa (field mustard)
Lineage: Eukaryota; Viridiplantae; Streptophyta; Magnoliopsida; Brassicales; Brassicaceae
Description: long non-coding RNA (BRAP_LNC008835)
Source: RNAcentral
GUUGUGUGUAUGUGUGUAUAAACUCCAAUGGAGAAAGAUGAGAGCUUAGUUCUAGGUGAUUUAAGAACAGAGAUGGGUGAGAGUGUUUAAGUGUUUAAGAGACUAAAGAGAAUGAGAUUAAGAGACUGAGAGACUAGAGAGAGACUGAGAGAAUAAGAGACUGAAGAUUAGGGAAGGAGAAGGGAAACCCCCUUACUCACUUAGUUCAUACAAAAUGCCACAUAUAAGCUUAUAUAUGCUCUUACAAGAUGCAAAUCAUAAACCUAAAUCUAAUGGCUGAUAUAACUUGAAUUUAAAUGGAUGGAUAGGAUGGAGAGUAAGGCUGGUCGUGAUUCUUCAUUGGCUGUGCUCUUGUUGCUUCAUUAUUGGCUCAUUUGAAUCUGGUCAAUGUGGAGACUGGUGCCUGAUUGGUUGCUGUAAGGCUCCCUUGAACUUUCCCAUAUAUCAGACUAGAUACAUGGUCAAUACACAGCUCUUGGCCAGCCUGUUCCAGCCUGUCUUUGGCGCCAGCUUCCUUCUUUUGUCUUCUUCUCUUAAGAGCUUACCUCUGCCCUAUUUUUGCACCAACCUCAAAUGUGCUCCAAUGGUCGACUGGUGAACUUUCGAGAUGUCUCGGUCCGUACGGAUCCGUACGGUCCGUACAACGUCCGUACCAAAUCCGUACGGCCAGUCCCUAAGUUUGCACACUUGCCCAAAUACUCUUCUAAGUCCCUCCUGGACUUGGCCCUAUCUUUGCACAACCAUCAGAUCACUUCUGGACACAAAGAGACACUCCUGAAGCUUGAUAGACAAUCCCUAAAGGACUUGCCCUAUCUUUGUACCAGACCUAACUCCUCCAUACUUCUCCUUUCACUCCAUUUCUAUUCUUCAAGUUAACACAAGCUCUAUCUUCUCUUCAGUUCAACACUCCCCCUCAAGCUUGACUUUAGGAGAUCCUAAGCCAAGCUUGGAACUCUGAAGAGUCUCCCUCAUUAAAAACCUUACAAGGAAAACCCAUUGGGACAAAACCUUGCAAGGGAAAAAGAGUAGAGCUCUCCAAAGCCUAGGGAUUGGCCAGUGAACUCUUGUGCCUUAGAACCAGUGUGGUUGGACACAAGAAGUUCUGGAUCACGGCCUAAACUGGUGCAGCAACUCAUCAAGACCUUGCGCACUAAACAACUCAGCUUCACCUCUUCAUGAAACCGGUUUGAAGUCUCCCCCUCUCAACUGACUUCACAGCCAUCUUAGAGAAGCUAGGACACGACCAGAUCAUCUUCAAAACACUAGUGAGACUUAUCAACACUUCACACAUGGCUUGCCCUCUUCAUCGACCAGGUUUGGAAUCUCCUCCUCUCAACUAACUUCACAGCCUCUUUAGAGAAGCUAAGAGAUGACCCGGAACAUCUUUAGUGAGGCUCAAGCAAUGGUACCUGAUACAUUAUCCCAAAGGUGCAUCAGUACCUAUCAAAAACAAGAAAAUGAAUAUCCUGCAUCACACUUGAUGCACACAAUCUCACAAUUCAAUCAUAAUCAUUUUACGUAUCUUUUCAAGCACAAGCAAUGAAUAAGAUGAAUAAAAAGGUUUUAAAAGUCUAAGGGAACUUCCCUUGUGUUUUUGUGAGUUUCCUAACUCGGCCAAUGCACCAUCUUCAUGGCAUCACCAACUUCUUGGAAAGGCAGAAUGGAUUCAUCAGCUUCUCCUCAAUCACCUCUCAUUGAAGCCGCAUUGAUGGAGAGCGUUCUUCUUCACUCGCCAAGACUGCUCUGAACAGCCUCUUGCCUAGACACGCCACUAUCUUGGUCCGGUUGAUGAUCCUUGUAGAAGCCUUUGCAAAGACUUGUUACUGACCAUGGAUCAUAUGCAUUAAGACUCCCCCUCAAGCUUAGAACCAAGACUAGAAGGAGCUAAGCUUGUGAUGAUCCUAUGCAUCUCCAUGGUCUAAUAACUAUCAUCUUUUAUGAUAGCUUUCUUCUUGUGAGUUUUCUCUCUUCCUUAACCAGGAAUUAGGGUGUUUGAAUCACCAUAGAGAGUCUCACAAGACACGCCUCUCAUUGCAUAAUGACCCAUGCUACACUUCCUGUAGACUAAGGACUAGAUAUGUCCAAUGGUAUUAUGCAAUGGCCAUCUCUCAUUGCAUACUCAAUCACACUACACUUCCUGUAGAUUAUGGACUAACAUGUCCUAGUGAUGAUAUGCAAUGGCACAAGAUCUUUGUCUUUACAUUCUUGGUUGUUGGCGAGUUUCAUGUAUCACAUUCCUUGUGUACCUAACACCACCACAACUCAAUGCAAGAUCAGAUCAUCCCAUUGGGAUCAAACCAAGAUUAUCCAUCCUGUUUGAUCACCAAUGCCACAAUAAUAUAGGAUACUUGAGACAAGCUAGACAAUCAAGACAAUCAAGCAAAGACAAUCAAUUCAGUUUUGUUUUUUUUUUUUUUUAAAUGCAACAAUAGAUGAAUGCAUUAGGUUACACACUAACUAUAUGAAUGAAACAGAUUCAAUCCAAAUGGAACACAAGUCUAGAUGAUACUUAUGCAAUCAAGACGACAAGAGUGACUCAAUUCAUGCUUAUGCUCACUAGUUUUUAUCAAUGCCAAUGAUCCAAAUAGCUUAGACAAACUUCUAAAUGCUUAUAAGACAUCACUGAUGGAUUUAACUAUGGCAAAGCAACAAUCAGACCUUUAGGCUCAUUUUUAAAUGCAUUACUACAUGAAUGCACAAUCUUAAAGCUUUAGCUAUAUGAAUGCAGCAGGUUCAAUCCAUGAGCAAUAUUAAGGCUAUGCACAACAGUUUCAAUCAAAACCAAUGAUGCAAGCAACUUAGACAAUUUCUAAUUGAUGCAAGACUUUCAUUGAUGGAUUAAACAUAGGCAAUAGCAUCAGAUAACAAUAGGAUUGAACUUAGACAGUAUGAGAUAUGAUUAUGUAUGCAAAAUAACUUACCAAUCAUGAUGCAAGCAGCAGAGACAUUCUACUCAAUUCUACAACACAUUCAUGAUGAUUCAAGCUAUGACAACACUCAAGACAAUGCAAUAAACAAAACAUGAGAUUCUGGGACUCUAGACAUUACUUACUAUCAAUAUGACAAUGCAACAGCAAAACAAUUUCAGUGCAAUUAGCCUAGACAUACUACUAGAAGCUAUAAACACUUAAUGGAAUUAGGGAAAGCACAUAGUAUAAUCAGGAGUUAAACCUAUCAAGACAUAUUAAGAUAGAUGAGAUUAGGUUUACUCCCUUGGUUAAGAUGAUGAGGAGUGGUUCUCAGAGUUACCACUUGAAUCCUUACUUCUUCUUCUUCUCUUAUUGCAAUCACCCUUCUGAAGUCACCACCAUGAUGGAAUGCUUGUGGAUGCUUCAGCUACUUCUUCAAUCACCUCACAAUAGAAGCCGCCUUGAUAGAGUAGCCUUCUUCUUCACACAGCCAAGAGUGCUCUGUCUUAGUUUGAGCACCCUCUUGAAUAGGCACGCCACUGCCUAGACCCGGUUGGCUUCUUCUUCUGAUACUUGCAAUGUUAAGAAGAAGAGCACGAGUGAGUUCUACAACCAUCUGUGCUUCUCCCUUUCUUGUAACACCUCUCCAUUGGACACACAAUGGGCAUCAUUCUUUCUCUUUCAACUCGGAUUUGAUGAUGAACUAGGAGCACCUUUUGUGAACCUGAAACAUCACUCAAACUCUAGCCAAGAUAAGACACAAUUGCAUUGGGAUCAAUCCUUGACUUCAUCAAGUUUGAUCACCAAUGUCUCAAGCUUUAUAACAUUAGAUAGAAUCAAGACAAUGUCAAGUUCUUAUCUAUGCAAGCAACCAUUCUCUAAAUACUAAGCAAGACCUUAUCAGAUUCAAGUCAAAGUAUUUAGGCAAUUUUAAUCACUCCUUAAUAUGCAACUUAGACUUUAAUCUAAAUGCAACAAUCCAAAGCAGCAACAAGGCAGUAUGCAUUAAUCUUAACAGUUUCUAACACAUGAAAGCAAGAAUGAUUAGAUAUAAUCUAUCAUCUUAACAAGACAAGUUAAUUUAGAGCUGUCAUUAAGCAUUUACCAUUUUCAAUAGUAUUGAUGUCAAAACUUGAUUAAUAAAUCAUCAAGUUUGAUUCCCAAUAACACAAGCAAUGCAACAGAUAGACACAAGGCAUUAUCAAGUUCUAUUCUUUGCAAGCUAGCUCUCUAAGAACAAUCAAGAUCCUAACAGAUUCAAGACAAGUUACUUAGGCAUUUUUAAAAGCUUCUUUACUCAGCAAUUUAGACAUGAAUCUAAUGCCUCAAUGGAAGACAGCCACAAGACUAUAUGCAACAGCUUUCAAUUCCGUUUCAAUCCAUGUAUGCAAGCAGAUUCAAUUAAUCACAACAAGCAUCACUAUGAUUCGGAGCUAAGCAUAUUAACAAUCUUAAUCACCAAACCAGGCUCUUUAAGCAUACUGAGACAGAUUCUAAAAGUAUUCAUUUAGCAAUCUUUAAACAAUUCUCAGGUUUUCAAUCACAUCACAACCAGUCAAUAUACUCAAGCUUUAUACAAGAGAAAGAGGUUUCUUACAGCCAAGGAACUAGUGUUAGUUCCUUGAAACUCCAUAGAACAUGGCAAGACAGUGAGCUGUUGGUGUCGAUUCCAACUUCUCCUUCUCCCAUGGACCUUUCUCUUGAACUCUCCAUGUCAAAGACCCCACCUUUCUUCAUGUUAAGUUCGCCACAUCAGUACCAGCUGAAAGCUAUCACCUUUCUUCUUGGACAGUGGAUGAGACCUAGCUUGGACAUAGCUUUGAAGCUUGGUUGAUGAGAUCGCCUCAUACACCAUUGCUUCCAAGGUUCUUUCUUCUUCAUGGGCUUCAUGAGAGAGUGUAGGUCGGCCAGAGACAGCUUCUGGACACCAUGGAUGAGCACACCUUCUUCUUGAAGAGUAGAACAACCGGCUGGACCAUGGAGCUUCUUCUUGGCUUCAAGCGACAUGGAGGAGAGCUAUGAGCUUCAGCAGAAGCAAGAACCAAGUUCUAAUGAACCUGGCUCUGAUACCAUAUGAUUUUUAAAGAGAUCUCUACUCUGGUUGUGUGUAUGUGUGUAUAAACUCCAAUGGAGAAAGAUGAGAGCUUAGUUCUAGGUGAUUUAAGAACAGAGAUGGGUGAGAGUGUUUAAGUGUUUAAGAGACUAAAGAGAAUGAGAUUAAGAGACUGAGAGACUAGAGAGAGACUGAGAGAAUAAGAGACUGAAGAUUAGGGAAGGAGAAGGGAAACCCCCUUACUCACUUAGUUCAUACAAAAUGCCACAUAUAAGCUUAUAUAUGCUCUUACAAGAUGCAAAUCAUAAACCUAAAUCUAAUGGCUGAUAUAACUUGAAUUUAAAUGGAUGGAUAGGAUGGAGAGUAAGGCUGGUCGUGAUUCUUCAUUGGCUGUGCUCUUGUUGCUUCAUUAUUGGCUCAUUUGAAUCUGGUCAAUGUGGAGACUGGUGCCUGAUUGGUUGCUGUAAGGCUCCCUUGAACUUUCCCAUAUAUCAGACUAGAUACAUGGUCAAUACACAGCUCUUGGCCAGCCUGUUCCAGCCUGUCUUUGGCGCCAGCUUCCUUCUUUUGUCUUCUUCUCUUAAGAGCUUACCUCUGCCCUAUUUUUGCACCAACCUCAAAUGUGCUCCAAUGGUCGACUGGUGAACUUUCGAGAUGUCUCGGUCCGUACGGAUCCGUACGGUCCGUACAACGUCCGUACCAAAUCCGUACGGCCAGUCCCUAAGUUUGCACACUUGCCCAAAUACUCUUCUAAGUCCCUCCUGGACUUGGCCCUAUCUUUGCACAACCAUCAGAUCACUUCUGGACACAAAGAGACACUCCUGAAGCUUGAUAGACAAUCCCUAAAGGACUUGCCCUAUCUUUGUACCAGACCUAACUCCUCCAUACUUCUCCUUUCACUCCAUUUCUAUUCUUCAAGUUAACACAAGCUCUAUCUUCUCUUCAGUUCAAC